AAACUUGAGAGUUUGAUCCUGGCUCAGAACGAACGCUGGCGGCAGGCCUAACACAUGCAAGUCGAGCGUGAUCUGCGGACUUCGGUUCGUGGUGAAAGCGGCGAACGGGUGAGUAACACGUGGGAACGUACCCCUUAGUACGGAAUAGCCUGGGGAAACCCGGAGUAAUACCGUAUACACCCUCCGGGGGAAAGAUUUAUCGCUAAGGGAUCGGCCCGCGCCUGAUUAGGUAGUUGGUGAGGUAAUGGCUCACCAAGCCGACGAUCAGUAGCUGGUUUGAGAGGAUGAUCAGCCACACUGGGACUGAGACACGGCCCAGACUCCUGCGGGAGGCAGCAGUGGGGAAUCUUGGACAAUGGGGGCAACCCUG
This 370-nucleotide ribosomal RNA is filed under the name Paracoccaceae bacterium. RNAcentral's name for it is "bacterial SSU rRNA". It matches the Rfam family "Bacterial small subunit ribosomal RNA", at positions 1 to 385 of the family's 1533-position model. Lineage: Bacteria; Pseudomonadati; Pseudomonadota; Alphaproteobacteria; Rhodobacterales; Paracoccaceae. The record is from RNAcentral.